AUUGAACGCUAGCGGGAUGCCUUACACAUGCAAGUCGAACGGAGUGGCGAACGGGUGAGUAAUGUAUCGGUACGUGCCCAGUAGCGGGGGAUAACUACGCGCAAGCGUAGCUAAUACCGCAUACUAUUGGAGCGGCCGAUAUCGGAUUAGCUAGUUGGUGGUGUAACGGUUCCCCAAGGCGACGAUCCAUAGCUGGUUUGAGAGGACGACCCGCCACACUGGGACUGAGACACGGCCCAGACUCCUACGGGAGGCAGCAGUGGGGAAUUUUGGACAAUGGGGGAAAGCCUGAUCCAGCCAUGCCGCGUGUAUGAAGAAGGCCUUCGGGUUGUAAAGUACUGUCAGCGAGGAGGCGUUAUUCGCAGAAGAAGCACCGGCUAACUCCGUGCCAGCAGCCGCGGUAAUAC
Molecule: ribosomal RNA, 407 nt
Filed under: uncultured bacterium
Lineage: Bacteria
Description: partial 16S ribosomal RNA
Rfam family: Bacterial small subunit ribosomal RNA
Source: RNAcentral